This 606-nucleotide ribosomal RNA is filed under the name uncultured bacterium. Its description in RNAcentral is "bacterial SSU rRNA". It matches the Rfam family "Bacterial small subunit ribosomal RNA", at positions 65 to 691 of the family's 1533-position model. The record is from RNAcentral.
AGCGAUCUUGUUAGCAAUAAUGAGAGAGCGGCGGAAGGGUGAGUAACACGUAGGAGACCUACCUCAUCGCAGGGAACAACUUCGCGAAAGCGGAGCUAAUACCCAAAAGGCUCACAGAUUCAUUUUUGUGAGGAGAGUACGAAAGUGCGUGAUGAGAGGGUCCUGCGGCCCAUCAGCUAGUUGGUAGGGUAACGGCCUACCAAGGCAACGACGGGUAGGGGGUCUGAGAGGACGAUCCCCCACACUGGAACUGAAACACGGUCCAGACGCCUACGGGUGGCAGCAGGGAGGAAUAUUGGGCAAUGGACGAAAGUCUGACCCAGCAACGCCGCGUGAAGGAUGAAGGCCUUCGGGUCGUAAACUUCUUUUAGGGGAGACGAGAAAGGACGGUAUCCCCUGAAUAAGCCACGGCUAACUACGUGCCAGCAGCCGCGGUAAAACGUAGGUGGCGAGCGUUAUCCGGAUUCAUUGGGCGUAAAGAGCUUGUAGGUGGUGCGAUAAGUUGGACGUGAAAACUCCGGGCUUAACUUGGAGAGGCCGUUCAAUACUGUUGUGCUAGAGGGCGUCAGAGGGAAGUGGAAUUCCUGGUGUAGCAGUGAAAUGCGU